CCUACGGUGUGCUGCAGUGAGGAAUAUUGGUCAAUGGACGAGAGUCUGAACCAGCCAAGUAGCGUGAAGGAUGACUGCCCUAUGGGUUGUAAACUUCUUUUAUAUGGGAAUAAAACGUUCCACGUGUGGGAUUUUGUAUGUACCAUAUGAAUAAGGAUCGGCUAACUCCGUGCCAGCAGCCGCGGUAAUACAGAGGAUCCGAGCUUUAGCCGGUUUUAUUGGGUUUAAAGGGAGCGUAGGUGGAUUGUUAAGUCAGUUGUGCAAGUUUGCGGCUCAACCGUAAAAUUGCAGUUGAAACUGGCAGUCUUGAGUACAGGAGAGGUGGGCGGAAUUCGUGGUGUAGCGGUGAAAUGCUUAGAUAUCACGAAGAACUCCGAUUGCGAAGGCAGUUCACUGGACUGCAACUGACACUGAGGCUCGAAAGUGUGGGUAUCAAACAGGAUUAGAUACCCCAGUAGUC
RNAcentral lists this ribosomal RNA (460 nucleotides) under uncultured bacterium. RNAcentral describes it as "partial 16S ribosomal RNA". It matches the Rfam family "Bacterial small subunit ribosomal RNA", at positions 338 to 795 of the family's 1533-position model. The record is from RNAcentral.